Vicia faba (fava bean) is the source of this 210-nucleotide non-coding RNA. NCBI's taxonomy places the organism in Eukaryota, Viridiplantae, Streptophyta, Magnoliopsida, Fabales, Fabaceae. The record is from the annotation of a GenBank genome assembly.
AUGCAUAUUAUGGACAACAUUGCAAGGUUUUUAUUUGGCACGUCUCGGGAAAGUUUUUUGCAAGGUUUGUGGACUAUUUUGGUAGCAGCAGCAGGGGUGUUUUAUAGUGAUGCAUUGCAAAGGGUUUUGUGGACUGCUGUAUGGUGCAGGGCAGCAGCAAUGGUUUUACCUAGCAGGCCUUUGGACCGUUUCUUGGACAUAGAGAGCUAG